GCGGCGUGCUUAACACAUGCAAGUCGAACGGAAAGGCCCUGCUUUUGUGGGGUGCUCGAGUGGCGAACGGGUGAGUAACACGUGAGUAACCUGCCCUUGACUUUGGGAUAACUUCAGGAAACUGGGGCUAAUACCGGAUAGGAGCUCCUGCUGCAUGGUGGGGGUUGGAAAGUUUCGGCGGUUGGGGAUGGACUCGCGGCUUAUCAGCUUGUUGGUGGGGUAGUGGCUUACCAAGGCUUUGACGGGUAGCCGGCCUGAGAGGGUGACCGGCCACAUUGGGACUGAGAUACGGCCCAGACUCCUACGGGAGGCAGCAGUGGGGAAUAUUGCACGAUGGGCGGAAGCCUGAUGCAGCAACGCCGCGUGCGGGAUGACGGCCUUCGGGUUGUAAACCGCUUUCGCCUGUGACGAAGCGUGAGUGACGGUAAUGGGUAAAGAAGCACCGGCUAACUACGUGCCAGCAGCCGCGGUGAUACGUAGGGUGCGAGCGUUGUCCGGAUUUAUUGGGCGUAAAGGGCUCGUAGGUGGUUGAUCGCGUCGGAAGUGUAAUCUUGGGGCUUAACCCUGAGCGUGCUUUCGAUACGGGUUGACUUGAGGAAGGUAGGGGAGAAUGGAAUUCCUGGUGGAGCGGUGGAAUGCGCAGAUAUCAGGAGGAACACCAGUGGCGAAGGCGGUUCUCUGGGCCUUUCCUGACGCUGAGGAGCGAAAGCGUGGGGAGCGAACAGGCUUAGAUACCCUGGUAGUCCACGCUGUAAACGGUGGGUACUAGGUGUGGGGUCCAUUCCACGGGUUCCGUGCCGUAGCUAACGCUUUAAGUACCCCGCCUGGGGAGUACGGCCGCAAGGCUAAAACUCAAAGGAAUUGACGGGGCCCCGCACAAGCGGCGGAGCAUGCGGAUUAAUUCGAUGCAACGCGUAGAACCUUACCUGGGUUUGACAUGGAUCGGGAGUGCUCAGAGAUGGGUGUGCCUCUUUUGGGGUCGGUUCACAGGUGGUGCAUGGCUGUCGUCAGCUCGUGUCGUGAGAUGUUGGGUUAAGUCCCGCAACGAGCGCAACCCUUGUUCACUGUUGCCAACACGUUAUGGUGGGGACUCAGUGGAGACCGCCGGGGUCAACUCGGAGGAAGGUGGGGAUGACGUCAAGUCAUCAUGCCCCUUAUGUCCAGGGCUUCACGCAUGCUACAAUGGCUGGUACAGAGAGUGGCGAGCCUGUGAGGGUGAGCGAAUCUCGGAAAGCCGGUCUCAGUUCGGAUUGGGGUCUGCAACUCGACCUCAUGAAGUCGGAGUCGCUAGUAAUCGCAGAUCAGCAACGCUGCGGUGAAUACGUUCCCGGGGCUUGUACACACCGCCCGUCAAGUCAUGAAAGUUGGUAACACCCGAAGCCGGUGGCCUAACCGUUGUGGGGGAGCCGUCGAAGGUGGGACUGGUGAUUAGG
Molecule: ribosomal RNA, 1433 nt
Filed under: uncultured organism
Description: 16S ribosomal RNA
Rfam family: Bacterial small subunit ribosomal RNA
Source: RNAcentral